This 433-nucleotide ribosomal RNA is filed under the name Theileria equi. Its description in RNAcentral is "SSU rRNA". It matches the Rfam family "Eukaryotic small subunit ribosomal RNA", at positions 453 to 923 of the family's 1831-position model. The record is from RNAcentral. Lineage: Eukaryota; Apicomplexa; Aconoidasida; Piroplasmida; Theileriidae.
GACACAGGGAGGUAGUGACAAGAAAUAACAAUACGGGGCUUGAAGUCUUGUAAUUGGAAUGAUGGGAAUUUAAACCCCUUCCAGAGUAUCAAUUGGAGGGCAAGUCUGGUGCCAGCAGCCGCGGUAAUUCCAGCUCCAAUAGCGUAUAUUAAACUUGUUGCAGUUAAAAAGCUCGUAGUUGAAUUUCUGCUGUUUCGUUGACUGCGUUUGGCGUUUGUCAUCGUUGCGGCUUGGUUGGGUUUCGAUUAUUCGUUUCCCGGCGUUUACUUUGAGAAAAUUAGAGUGCUUGAAGCAGGCUUUUGCCUUGAAUACUUUAGCAUGGAAUAACGGAGUAGGACUUUGGUUCUAUUUUGUUGGUUUUAGGAGCCAGAGUAAUGGUUAAUAGGAACAGUUGGGGGCAUUCGUAUUUGACUGUCAGAGGUGAAAUUCUUAG